CGGCAGGCCUAACACAUGCAAGUCGAACGGACCCUUCGGGGUUAGUGGCGGACGGGUGAGUAACACGUGGGAACGUGCCUUUUGGUUCGGAAUAGCUCCUGGAAACGGGUGGUAAUGCCGAAUGUGCCCUUCGGGGGAAAGAUUUAUCGCCAUUAGAGCGGCCCGCGUCUGAUUAGCUAGUUGGUGAGGUAAAGGCUCACCAAGGCUACGAUCAGUAGCUGGUCUGAGAGGAUGACCAGCCACAUUGGGACUGAGACACGGCCCAAACUCCUACGGGAGGCAGCAGUGGGGAAUCUUGCGCAAUGGGCGAAAGCCUGACGCAGCCAUGCCGCGUGAAUGAUGAAGGUCUUAGGAUUGUAAAAUUCUUUCACCGGGGACGAUAAUGACGGUACCCGGAGAAGAAGCCCCG
Molecule: ribosomal RNA, 409 nt
Filed under: alpha proteobacterium BAL260
Lineage: Bacteria; Pseudomonadati; Pseudomonadota; Alphaproteobacteria
Description: bacterial SSU rRNA
Rfam family: Bacterial small subunit ribosomal RNA
Source: RNAcentral